Molecule: non-coding RNA, 72 nt
Organism: Phthorimaea operculella (potato tuberworm)
Lineage: Eukaryota; Metazoa; Arthropoda; Insecta; Lepidoptera; Gelechiidae
Source: the annotation of a GenBank genome assembly
GCAUCGAUAGCUCAGUGGCAGAGCGAUGAGGAGUAGACUCAUGCGGCCCGAGUUCAAGCGCCGACCGAUGCA